Molecule: long non-coding RNA, 748 nt
Organism: Suricata suricatta (meerkat)
Lineage: Eukaryota; Metazoa; Chordata; Mammalia; Carnivora; Herpestidae
Exons: 2
Source: RefSeq, a predicted model, not a curated record
CGAGGAGCCGCGGCAGGCCGGUGGGCCGAGCCGGCCCGCCCUGCUGCUCGGCGCGGACACCUCGCCUCGGCUCCGCAGGGCAUGUCUGCCGCCUUGAGACCUCCUUCUCCUCCCGAGCAUCACGCCCGGGAGGGCGCCCGUUCACGCGGACACCUGACGCCCACGGGGACGACCCAGCCCCUCGGGAGCCUGUUUUCUCGCCAACGCGUUGGGCCGUGGGCCUCCUGGGCUCAGAGUGCAGGGAGGCCACCGUCAUUCCGCGCCGAGGGUAGCAGCUGCCGCCUGGAGCCCAGCCGAGCGCCGCCAGUGGGCUCUCGGACGCCCAAGGCUUGGAGACCUCUACGGCCCGGGCGACCCUGCCGGAUCCUGUGGAGUAAAGGAGCACCGGCAUCCACCUGGGGUACGAUGCGAAACGUAGGCCCUCCAGUGGGUUUGACGCAAGGGAGAAGAUACUGUCGGGCUGCGAUCCUUGGUUGACAACCCAGAGGUCCUACCUUAGGAAAGGAGGGCAGUUUGCCCGGACAAAAAGGCUUCCGGUUAGAACCUGCCUAGAUCGCUCCCCUGGAGUGUGUCGCUAAGGCCUGGACCUGACUGCACUGGCAGGCAGUAUGGAAGAAACCACUGGCCUGCCUGGAGGCGCCGGCCUGGCUCCGUCUGAAGAGCAUGCCUCUCUUGAUCUCAGGGUCAUGAGUUUGGGCCCCACCCCCCAUGGGAUGUAGAGGUCACUUAAAUCAAUAUCUGAAAAAUG